GAUCCUGCUCAGGACGAACGCUGGCGGCGCGCCUAACACAUGCAAGUCGAACGGGAGAGAGGGAGCUUGCUUCCUUGAUCGAGUGGCGAACGGGUGAGUAACGCGUGAGGAACCUGCCUCAAAGAGGGGGACAACAGUUGGAAACGACUGCUAAUACCGCAUAAGCCCACGACCCGGCAUCGGGAAGAGGGAAAAGGAGCAAUCCGCUUUGAGAUGGCCUCGCGUCCGAUUAGCUAGUUGGUGAGGUAA
Molecule: ribosomal RNA, 249 nt
Filed under: uncultured bacterium
Lineage: Bacteria
Description: partial 16S ribosomal RNA
Rfam family: Bacterial small subunit ribosomal RNA
Source: RNAcentral